RNAcentral lists this ribosomal RNA (492 nucleotides) under uncultured bacterium. RNAcentral's name for it is "partial 16S ribosomal RNA". It matches the Rfam family "Bacterial small subunit ribosomal RNA", at positions 29 to 507 of the family's 1533-position model. The record is from RNAcentral.
AGUGAACGCUGGCGGUAGGCCCAACACAUGCAAGUCGAACGGCAGCACAGUAAGAGCUUGCUCUUACGGGUGGCGAGUGGCGGACGGGUGAGGAAUACAUCGGAAUCUACUUUUUCGUGGGGGAUAACGUAGGGAAACUUACGCUAAUACCGCAUACGACCUACGGGUGAAAGCAGGGGAUCUUCGGACCUUGCGCGAUUGAAUGAGCCGAUGUCGGAUUAGCUAGUUGGCGGGGUAAAGGCCCACCAAGGCGACGAUCCGUAGCUGGUCUGAGAGGAAGAUCAGCCACACUGGAACUGAGACACGGUCCAGACUCCUACGGGAGGCAGCAGUGGGGAAUAUUGGACAAUGGGCGCAAGCCUGAUCCAGCCAUACCGCGUGGGUGAAGAAGGCCUUCGGGUUGUAAAGCCCUUUUGUUGGGAAAGAAAAGCAGCAGGUUAAUACCCCGCUGUUCUGACGGUACCCAAAGAAUAAGCACCGGCUAACUUCGUG